This 535-nucleotide ribosomal RNA is filed under the name uncultured bacterium. RNAcentral describes it as "bacterial SSU rRNA". It matches the Rfam family "Bacterial small subunit ribosomal RNA", at positions 777 to 1318 of the family's 1533-position model. The record is from RNAcentral.
AAUAGAUACCCUGGUAGUCCACGCCCUAAACGAUGUCAACUAGUUGUUGGGGAUUCAUUUCCUUAGUAACGUAGCUAACGCGUGAAGUUGACCGCCUGGGGAGUACGGUCGCAAGAUUAAAACUCAAAGGAAUUGACGGGGACCCGCACAAGCGGUGGAUGAUGUGGAUUAAUUCGAUGCAACGCGAAAAACCUUACCUACCCUUGACAUGGUCGGAACCCUGCUGAAAGGUGGGGUGCUCGAAAGAGAACCGGCGCACAGGUGCUGCAUGGCUGUCGUCAGCUCGUGUCGUGAGAUGUUGGGUUAAGUCCCGCAACGAGCGCAACCCUUGUCCUUAGUUGCUACGCAAGAGCACUCUAAGGAGACUGCCGGUGACAAACCGGAGGAAGGUGGGGAUGACGUCAAGUCCUCAUGGCCCUUAUGGGUAGGGCUUCACACGUCAUACAAUGGUCGGAACAGAGGGUUGCCAAGCCGCGAGGUGGAGCCAAUCCCAGAAAACCGAUCGUAGUCCGGAUCGCAGUCUGCAACUCGACUG